RNAcentral lists this ribosomal RNA (491 nucleotides) under uncultured bacterium. RNAcentral describes it as "partial 16S ribosomal RNA". It matches the Rfam family "Bacterial small subunit ribosomal RNA", at positions 29 to 506 of the family's 1533-position model. The record is from RNAcentral.
AGUGAACGCUGGCGGUAGGCCUAACACAUGCAAGUCGAACGGCAGCACAGUAAGAGCUUGCUCUUACGGGUGGCGAGUGGCGGACGGGUGAGGAAUACAUCGGAAUCUACUUUUUCGUGGGGGAUAACGUAGGGAAACUUACGCUAAUACCGCAUACGACCUACGGGUGAAAGCAGGGGAUCUUCGGACCUUGCGCGAUUGAAUGAGCCGAUGUCGGAUUAGCUAGUUGGCGGGGUAAAGGCCCACCAAGGCGACGAUCCGUAGCUGGUCUGAGAGGAUGAUCAGCCACACUGGAACUGAGAAACGGUCCAGACUCCUACGGGAGGCAGCAGUGGGGAAUAUUGGACAAUGGGCGCAAGCCUGAUCCAGCCAUACCGCGUGGGUGAAGAAGGCCUUCGGGUUGUAAAGCCCUUUUGUUGGGAAAGAAAAGCAGCAGGUUAAUACCCCGCUGUUCUGACGGUACCCAAAGAAUAAGCACCGGCUAACUUCGU